This 528-nucleotide unclassified non-coding RNA is filed under the name Carex neurocarpa. Its description in RNAcentral is "partial external transcribed spacer". Lineage: Eukaryota; Viridiplantae; Streptophyta; Magnoliopsida; Poales; Cyperaceae. The record is from RNAcentral.
UUUGUGCGGCCAACUGACAUGGGGCUGUCUCAUCACUCUCCCUCCCGUCAUUAAAUUUGUCGGGGUUGGGAUGCUUGUGAUCGGUUGCCUGUGUAGUUCUACCUUGUUGUGGGUAGCGAAGUUGUCCCUCGAUUGAUUUUUGCUUGCCUUUUUGACUUUUUUUGUCGUUUGGGCAGCCGAAAUGAUGGCAAAAUCCUUGUGUAGGUGCGUGGUCGAAUGGCUUUGUUGCUAUCACUUGGAUUUUUGUCAGCUCUCACAGAUGCAGUGCUUAGUGCUAGCGCUGUGUGACUUUGCCUCACAGACUUUGGGAGGUCCCUUGUACGAAUCAUAGCUUUCGGAUGCCGUUUGUCGUGUUGCUUGUUUGGCACGCAAAUCGUAUUGUUCUGCCUGGAGUCGGGAUGAUGAAAGUCAGAAUGAAGUGUCUGGGGCGUGUUUGCGUACAUGGGGAAUGCCUCUCUGAUAGUAUGAGUAACGAUUUUCGGCAUGUGUCCUGCGAAGGCCCUCCCGUUUGGGUUGUUGCUGGAGCUG